GCAGAAAAUCCAACAAAAACACAACUUACAGUGAUUCAUCUGACGACGAAGUAAAUAAUCCGGAUUCUUUUACCCUGCCACCACCACCCGUCAUUGCACAUGGUUCAAAAGGUUUAAAAUAAAUUAUCUUAUUGGAUGAAAUUUUUAAAUUUUCAUUAAGCUUAACAUUUCCAUUAACUAUGCAGACACUGAUAAAAUCAACAAGUUGAUCUUUGACUCUGCAAAAAAGUAUGACCCACCUCACAGCUCCCCGAUCCCGUUCACUCUUGGCUUAGUUGGGGUAGAAAAUCUUGGCACUACAAACGAAACUAUUUCUGAUUCAGAUUCGUCACCGGACCAUGUUUUGAAUGAGCUUCAGGUUCCGGCUACUACUGAAUACAGAAACGAUAACGGUGGGGAUAACCGGGAUGAUUCUUUUACUGCCACCCCUUUGCAAAAUUGUCAUCCAGAUAAGGACUUUCAAAACUGGGUGGCUAGAAAUAUUACCAUUUUGAAAGCUCAGAACCGACAAAUUCAGAACAGUCUUGACGGUAUUCUAUUACAACUUGGGGAAAGGACUGAAUAUAAAAAUUCCCAACCAAAAAAUGUUCACCACGAGUUACCAUGCAAGACUUUGGAUGAUGUUGAAAAUGGAAAGAAGGUUUAUUCUUCUUCAGAUAGUCGGGAAUCUUUAGUAAGCCGGAAAUUCUAACAUGUUUAAUAAUUAUGACGUAAAACUGUUUAGUUACGCAUGCACUUAAAUUAGGUACAAUAUCUCAGCCAGAAGUGGGGAAAGAGUGUCUCUUCGUGCACUCGGAAGGUGCUUUCUUGUUUGUGCACCGAUGAAUUGGCCUGUAACUACAAUUGGAUUGGAUCGCGUGGUGGCAAAGUGGGAUUUAAGGAGACAUGGAUGAAGUCAAUUAUUUUGGGCAAGUCAUUCACAAAUUCUCCUGGAUUUACUUGGAGUAUAAUUUUUCUGU
Molecule: long non-coding RNA, 959 nt
Organism: Folsomia candida
Lineage: Eukaryota; Metazoa; Arthropoda; Collembola; Entomobryomorpha; Isotomidae
Exons: 3
Source: RefSeq, a predicted model, not a curated record